AGGAUAAGUCAAAUAAAUAAAAGGGGGAAUUUCUUGUCUUUGGUUUUUAUUUCUUUUUAGGUUUUUUUUUAUUUCUUAGUUAGAAUUUUUCUUCCGCAUAAUAAAAUAGCUAGCGUGAAUAAAUAAGCUCAAUGGCUCUUCAUUUGGAAAAAAUAAAGUGAUGUGGUAAUGGAAAUGAACAUGUCUAGGACUGGAUUGUUGAGAAAGACUUGGUACUUAAGAAGUUUUUAUGACUCACCGC
RNAcentral lists this long non-coding RNA (241 nucleotides) under Gossypium raimondii (Peruvian cotton). Its description in RNAcentral is "long non-coding RNA (GRAI_LNC009978)". Lineage: Eukaryota; Viridiplantae; Streptophyta; Magnoliopsida; Malvales; Malvaceae. The record is from RNAcentral.